This 393-nucleotide long non-coding RNA is filed under the name Phoenix dactylifera (date palm). Its description in RNAcentral is "long non-coding RNA (PDAC_LNC011953)". Lineage: Eukaryota; Viridiplantae; Streptophyta; Magnoliopsida; Arecales; Arecaceae. The record is from RNAcentral.
GAUCUCUUCAGGAACUUCGCGUGGACUUCUCGUAGAGGCCAUUCGUGUGCGUGGCUGCGAAGUCGAGGAUCAGAUCCACAAGUUUCAUCCAUCAUAAAAGGUAUUAAUCCUACAUUAAUUUUUUAUUAUGGUGUCAAGAUCUAGGUCUGAUUUUUCGAGGUUUUACCCUCUUUUGGGGCUCCUCACGGAGAUAUCUCCAGAAUCCAUUCAAUGGAUAUUCGGAGAUUAAUCGGAAUAGAGUUCUUAAGUUUCAGAUCUGAUAGUUAAUCAUGCAUGAAAGUUUUAGCAUAAUUGUUUAAACGAUUCCGGCAUAAUCCUAUGUGUUCUUAAGGUGCUGAUUUCUAGAUUUGAUCUUGUAAGCAUGCAUGAAUUAAAUUGUUUGAUUCGAUUUUU